AUUGAACGCUGGCGGCAUGCCUUACACAUGCAAGUCGAACGGCAGCACGGGAGCAAUCCUGGUGGCGAGUGGCGAACGGGUGAGUAAUAUAUCGGAACGUGCCCAGUCGUGGGGGAUAACGUAGCGAAAGCUACGCUAAUACCGCAUACGAUCUAUGGAUGAAAGCGGGGGAUCGCAAGACCUCGCGCGAUUGGAGCGGCCGAUAUCAGAUUAGGUAGUUGGUGAGGUAAAGGCUCACCAAGCCGACGAUCUGUAGCUGGUCUGAGAGGACGACCAGCCACACUGGAACUGAGACACGGUCCAGACUCCUACGGGAGGCAGCAGUGGGGAAUUUUUGGACAAUGGGCGCAAGCCUGAUCCAGCAAUGCCGCGUGCAGGAUGAAGGCCUCGGUUGUAACGUAGUACGUUUGUUACGGUAAC
This 420-nucleotide ribosomal RNA is filed under the name uncultured bacterium. RNAcentral describes it as "bacterial SSU rRNA". It matches the Rfam family "Bacterial small subunit ribosomal RNA", at positions 30 to 453 of the family's 1533-position model. The record is from RNAcentral.